AAGUGGGAUGACGUCAAAUCAUCAUGCCCCUUAUGUUCUGGGCCACACACGUGCUACAAUGGCCGGUACAGACGGAGGCGAAGCCGCGAGGCGGAGCAAAUCCGAAAAAGCCGGUCUCAGUUCGGAUUGCAGGCUGCAAUUCGCCUGCAUGAAGUCGGAAUCGCUAGUAAUCGCAGGUCAGCAUACUGCGGUGAAUACGUUCCCGGGCCUU
Molecule: ribosomal RNA, 211 nt
Filed under: uncultured Pelotomaculum sp.
Lineage: Bacteria; Bacillati; Bacillota; Clostridia; Eubacteriales; Desulfotomaculaceae
Description: partial 16S ribosomal RNA
Rfam family: Bacterial small subunit ribosomal RNA
Source: RNAcentral